UUGAAUUCUUUAUACUAAUCUAUUAUUUUGUCGAAUUUAUCACAACGCACAAAACACAGAUAAAAAGCUUUCACAUAUUGCAACAAAUUGCAAAAACACUUAAAAUACACCACCUUGCAAUAAUAAAAAGUACUAUUUUUCAAUUAUAUAUGCUGGUUAUGCACACUACCAAAAAAAAAAAAAAAACAAAUUUUAUUUGUAUCGUUCGCGAACCGACCAUGAAUUCAGUGAAUAAUUUUAUGACCAGCACAAAGGCAAUCAACGUAAAACCUAAGGAAAAUGAAAACAAAAUAUACAGCAAAUAAACAGAGAUAACAGCAAGCGAACGUCUACAAAAACAAGCUAUUUAUUUCCCUUUUGCUUGGUCAAUAGUUCGCUGGUUAGAAGAAUGCAGCUACUUUUUAGGAAAAUACUGAAUGUCAAAUUGCAAACUGUUGCCAUAUGUAUAGUUGCACAGAGAUGCCAGCAAACACAGAAAUAUAAAUAAAAUAUUUUAAAUUGUAAUAGUCUGGCAAGUCAAUGGAAAAUCUUAUUUGACCAUAUGUUCGUAGAUGCUGAUAUUUACUUUAUUUUGGUGUCAUUAAACUUUUUUGACCGCAUUUAUUUACUUUUGUUGAUCUUCGACCUUAUCACACGACUGAUUUGAUAAACUACGAAUUAUGACUGCGCACAUCACUGUACAAAAUGAGCUGGAUUAGUGUGCGAGAAGGAGACGAAGCGAGUUGCUGGUUGGACUUACUUCAGAGUUGCAUAUCGUGUAGAGAGUGUGUUCAGGCAGUGGUGAAUUUGAGAAAUGUCAAAAUGCGCAACCGUUUUGUAAAGCUCAUGUGUUGAACGAAUUUCACCAUGUCGAUACGUACUAAGUAUGUAAUCUAAUAAGAAUCCAUGCAUUGCUCCUUAAAGCAGGUCAGAUGAAAUGCGUUCUUUAGAUGAUAAUAGCUGAUGAUGAACUUUCGCUAGUAUGCGGGAAAAUUAGUUUGAAGCAAAGUUUGUAUAAAUUGGCUUUAGGAAAUUAGCUUUUAAUAUAAAAUUUAAAUUAAA
Long non-coding RNA from Bactrocera oleae (olive fruit fly), 1041 nucleotides. RefSeq lists it as uncharacterized. NCBI's taxonomy places the organism in Eukaryota, Metazoa, Arthropoda, Insecta, Diptera, Tephritidae. The record is from RefSeq and is a predicted model, not a curated record.